UUGACCUCGGAUCAGGUAGGAAUACCCGCUGAACUUAGCAUAUCAGCAUAUCAAUAAGCGGAGGA
This 65-nucleotide ribosomal RNA is filed under the name Trichoderma sp. RNAcentral's name for it is "partial 28S ribosomal RNA". The record is from RNAcentral. Lineage: Eukaryota; Fungi; Ascomycota; Sordariomycetes; Hypocreales; Hypocreaceae.